GGAAGUGCUAAAGCCUCCGAGGCCAAGGCCGCUGCUACUGCCGCUGCUGCUUCUUAGUGCCGCGUUCGCCGCCUGGGUUGUCACCGGCGCCGCCGCCGAGGAAGCCACUGCAACCAGGACCGGAGUGGAGGCGGCGCAGCAUGAAGCGGCGCAGGCCCGCUCCAUAGCGCACGUCGGGACGGUCCGGGCGGGGCCAGGGGGGAAGGUGCAGUAUCCGCCCCCCUCUCCUUCUCCUGCGCCGGCGAGGCCUGGGCCACGGCUCACCAGGCCCUUUCCGCCUCACGGAGGGACUGCUCGGCGCGUUCUCAGGGUCAGCGCGCUUUGCGGUUUACCUGGCGCGCCGCCCUGCCCAGUGCAAAGCCGGUGGUGCCCUCCCCCCCUCCCCCCAACUUGCCGGAAGAGGAAGCCGAGGCUCCGAGAUUCCGAGUCAACCACCGUUCACUGGGCGCCCCUUGAGCUCUGGGCGCUGGCCUCCUGACUUCCACGCUUUGAUGGUGAGGAAAGGAAAGAUUGCUGUGAGAAGAGCAGGAUGAGCAGAGGGAUUCUAUGCUUGAAGUCGAGUCACUUGAAAAAGAUCUCUUUGAAUGUGGAAGAGAUCUGAGCAGAUGAAAAUAAAAUCAGGAAAAUGCAACAUGGCAGCAGCAAUGGAAACAGAACAGCUGGGUGUUGAGAUAUUUGAAACUGCGGACUGUGAGGAGAAUAUUGAAUCACAGGAUCGGCCUAAAUUGGAGCCUUUUUAUGUUGAGCGGUAUUCCUGGAGUCAGCUUAAAAAGCUGCUUGCCGAUACCAGAAAAUAUCAUGGCUACAUGAUGGCUAAGGCACCACAUGAUUUCAUGUUUGUGAAGAGGAAUGAUCCAGAUGGGCCUCAUUCAGACAGAAUCUAUUACCUUGCCAUGUCUGGUGAGAACAGAGAAAAUACACUGUUUUAUUCUGAAAUUCCCAAAACUAUCAAUAGAGCAGCAGUCUUAAUGCUCUCUUGGAAGCCUCUUUUGGAUCUUUUUCAGGCAACACUGGACUAUGGAAUGUAUUCUCGAGAAGAAGAACUAUUAAGAGAAAGAAAACGCAUUGGAACAGUCGGAAUUGCUUCUUACGAUUAUCACCAAGGAAGUGGAACAUUUCUGUUUCAAGCUGGUAGUGGAAUUUAUCACGUAAAAGAUGGAGGGCCACAAGGAUUUACGCAACAACCUUUAAGGCCCAAUCUAGUGGAAACUAGUUGUCCCAACAUACGGAUGGAUCCAAAAUUAUGCCCUGCUGAUCCAGACUGGAUUGCUUUUAUACAUAGCAACGAUAUUUGGAUAUCUAACAUCGUAACCAGAGAAGAAAGGAGACUCACUUAUGUGCACAAUGAGCUAGCCAACAUGGAAGAAGAUGCCAGAUCAGCUGGAGUUGCUACCUUUGUUCUCCAAGAAGAAUUUGAUAGAUAUUCUGGCUAUUGGUGGUGUCCAAAAGCUGAAACAACUCCCAGUGGUGGUAAAAUUCUUAGAAUUCUAUAUGAAGAAAAUGAUGAAUCUGAGGUGGAAAUUAUUCAUGUUACAUCCCCUAUGUUGGAAACAAGGAGGGCAGAUUCAUUCCGUUAUCCUAAAACAGGUACAGCAAAUCCUAAAGUCACUUUUAAGAUGUCAGAAAUAAUGAUUGAUGCUGAAGGAAGGAUCAUAGAUGUCAUAGAUAAGGAACUAAUUCAACCUUUUGAGAUUCUAUUUGAAGGAGUUGAAUAUAUUGCCAGAGCUGGAUGGACUCCCGAGGGAAAAUAUGCUUGGUCCAUCCUACUAGAUCGCUCCCAGACUCGCCUGCAGAUAGUGUUGAUCUCACCUGAAUUAUUUAUCCCAGUAGAAGAUGAUGUUAUGGAAAGGCAGAGACUCAUUGAGUCAGUGCCUGAUUCUGUGACGCCACUAAUUAUCUAUGAAGAAACAACAGACAUCUGGAUAAAUAUCCAUGACAUCUUUCAUGUUUUUCCCCAAAGUCACGAAGAGGAAAUUGAGUUUAUUUUUGCCUCUGAAUGCAAAACAGGUUUCCGUCAUUUAUACAAAAUUACAUCUAUUUUAAAGGAAAGCAAAUAUAAACGAUCCAGUGGUGGGCUGCCUGCUCCAAGUGAUUUCAAGUGUCCUAUCAAAGAGGAGAUAGCAAUUACCAGUGGUGAAUGGGAAGUUCUUGGCCGGCAUGGAUCUAAUAUCCAAGUUGAUGAAGUCAGAAGGCUGGUAUAUUUUGAAGGCACCAAAGACUCCCCUUUAGAGCAUCACCUGUACGUAGUCAGUUACGUAAAUCCUGGAGAGGUGACAAGGUUGACUGACCGUGGCUAUUCACAUUCUUGCUGCAUCAGUCAGCACUGUGACUUCUUUAUAAGUAAGUAUAGUAACCAGAAGAAUCCACACUGUGUGUCCCUUUACAAGCUAUCAAGUCCUGAAGAUGACCCAACUUGCAAAACAAAGGAAUUUUGGGCCACCAUUUUGGAUUCAGCAGGUCCUCUUCCUGACUAUACUCCUCCAGAAAUUUUCUCUUUCGAAAGUACUACUGGAUUUACAUUGUAUGGGAUGCUCUACAAGCCUCAUGAUCUACAGCCUGGAAAGAAAUAUCCUACUGUGCUGUUCAUAUAUGGUGGUCCUCAGGUGCAGUUGGUGAAUAAUCGGUUUAAAGGAGUCAAGUAUUUCCGCUUGAAUACCCUAGCCUCUCUAGGUUAUGUGGUUGUAGUGAUAGACAACAGGGGAUCCUGUCACCGAGGGCUUAAAUUUGAAGGCGCCUUUAAAUAUAAAAUGGAAGCUUUAAAUGCUACCUUUUAGAGAUGCCCCAUGUCCUUUCUGCUGCUUUGGGAAAUGAUGAGAAUCCGAUGUUCCUUUUGCACAGUAAGGCAGUUACUGUGUUUGCCAGUGUUAUUGGACAUGCUGAGGUCAAAUAGAAAUUGACGAUCAGGUGGAAGGACUCCAAUAUCUAGCUUCUCGAUAUGAUUUCAUUGACUUAGAUCGUGUGGGCAUCCACGGCUGGUCCUAUGGAGGAUACCUCUCCCUGAUGGCAUUAAUGCAGAGGUCAGAUAUCUUCAGGGUUGCUAUUGCUGGGGCCCCAGUCACUCUGUGGAUCUUCUAUGAUACAGGAUACACGGAACGUUAUAUGGGUCACCCUGACCAGAAUGAACAGGGCUAUUACUUAGGAUCUGUGGCCAUGCAAGCAGAAAAGUUCCCCUCUGAACCAAAUCGUUUACUGCUCUUACAUGGUUUCCUGGAUGAGAAUGUCCAUUUUGCACAUACCAGUAUAUUACUGAGUUUUUUAGUGAGGGCUGGAAAACCAUAUGAUUUACAGAUCUAUCCUCAGGAGAGACACAGCAUAAGAGUUCCUGAAUCUGGAGAACAUUAUGAACUGCAUCUUUUGCACUACCUUCAAGAAAACCUUGGAUCACGUAUUGCUGCUCUAAAAGUGAUAUAAUUUUGACCUGUGUAGAACUCUCUGGUAUACACUGGCUAUUUAACCAAAUGAGGAGGUUUAAUCAAUAGAAAACACAGAAUUGAUCAUCACAUUUUGAUACCUGCCACGUAACAUCUACUCCUGAAAAUAAAUGUGGUGCCAUGCAGGGGUCUACGGUUUGUGGUAGUAAUCUAAUACCUUAACCCCACAUGCUCAAAAUCAAAUGAUACAUAUUCCUGAGAGACCCAGCAAUACCAUAAGAAUUACUAAAAAAAAAAAAAAAAAAAGACAUUAGCACCAUGUAUUCAUACUACCCUAUUUUCACUUUUAAUAGUAUUAUAAACUUCAUGAACUUAAUUAGUGUAUUUUUACAGUAUACUUUUGAGUUUGUUAAAAUAUGAUGAUAUUAGUGAUUGGUUUGGUUCAGUUCCAGAAUCUCUGACUAGUUACAGAUUUGAUAGCACUUAAAUGUAAUUGAAUAGCUUAUGCUUCAUUGCUUGGGCAUAUCCAGCAUGUUAUGAACUAAUAACUAUUAAACUUAACCAGUCAUUCAUUAAUAAUUUUUCAAGGAUAACUUAGUGGCCUCCUAAAGACACUUGUUUUGGCACUGACCAGUUUUUAGCCAAUUUAAUCUGUAUCUAGUAUAAAUAAUUCUCAUUUUUCUUUGAUGAUAUUAACAGUGGGCUUUUCCUUUUGCAUAAAGGCUAGUAACUGUAUAUGUAGCAUGGAUUUAAUUAGUCAUGAUAUUGAUAAUUACAGGCAGAAAAUUUUUAAUCAAAUGAUUAGAGCUUAAAUAUUUGCAGGCAAGUUUUUUUUUUUCCUUUAAGAAAAGGAAAAAGUACACAUUCACUAGAAUUCUUCAGAAAAUUUAGUGGUGCCAGUUUCCAUUUGGUAUUUCCUUAUUAAAAUAUUCUAGAAUUUUAAGGAGAUUGAAGGGAAUCACAGUGGGGUGGGGAGACCUGGGUUUGGGGAAUGACAGAGAGAAGAGGUGGUGAGGGCCUGAUUAAAAACUAAGCAGAAGUAGUUUUAACAAAAAUACUCAUGAAAAUGUUUGGAAACUGAAAUUUAAACAACUGUAAUAUUAAGGAAACCAGAAUCAAUAAAUCACUGUCUUGCCAGCACAGCUACAGAGUAACAUGAUUCAGGGGAGGAAAAGUUCCUUAGAGUUACUUUUAUAAUUCUUUUUUUUUUUUCCUCUUAGGUUUAGAAAUCUUACAAAUUUAAACUUUAUCCUUUUAAAAUUAUUUGAACAUAAUUUAGAUAUUGUAAGCUUAAAAUACAAAUGUUUACAGAUAACCUCUUUACCGUAAACUAAUCCCUGGCAAGCCAUGGCUCUCUUUUUUUUUGGUGUUUAAAGCCUGUAAACAGUUUUUCUGAAUGAUCGUGAACUUUUCUUGGUUUAGCACUAGGAUUUAGCUAUGAAGAGAGCUCAUAGGCUUUCAGGUGCUAAUUGAGAUCUGCCCUGUUAGAGUCUUGGGGUGCUAGAUUGGUCACAUUGACACCAGUGGCAGGGAAGGCAUCUAUGAGUUUGAUGCUUUUUAUCACACACUUCAGUGUUUAGAAAGUUAUUACCAAUACUUUUAAACAACACUCCAAGAAAAUUUGCUAUAUUUCUUUCUCAUCACUACAGAGAGAGUAGAUUUCCCCAUAGAGAGCACAGCCUCCAUUAGUAAGGUUGGUGACUAUUGGUAAGAGGUGGACUUCAUUGACACCAAGUGGGAGGUAGGGAAAGCCCAGAAAUGGCAGGAUGAUAUGGUGGUUCUGUCAUUGGGAAAGGUAUUGGGUUUUGCUGUUUGUAUUUAUACUGUAUAAUAGAUACCACGCUUUUUCUUAUCUGUAUAUGUAUUGCUUUUCAUGUUUGAUAUUUUCCCAUGCCAAGAUUUGUUUAUAUAUAUUUUCAAUGUUAAAUUAAAUUGAUUUGGGUAACUUUCUUCCCCAAGAAAGUAUUUUCCCCCUUAAGUAUAUAUCUGACUGUGGAGGGUGUUUUGUUUUGUUUUGUUUUGUUUGGACUAAUUGGCCUUGAAGGAUCUAUCCUUAUAAUAUAUGCAAAGUAGAAAUGGUAUACAGUAGCUUUUAAGCAGCUACUGCAUUGAAACGUCUCACCCAUUAAGGCUGUUUCUUCAAAGUGGCAUCUCUUAUUUUACCGAAACAAACUUAGAAAACUUCAUGUACUCAGGAGUUCACAGGUGUUUUCCUUUUGCAUGUUGCCUUCUCCUUUCCUCCUAUCACAAAGAAUGCUUCUAUUAUCACUCCCAGUCACUUAAAUGCCAUUCUGCUUCUUUAGCAGGAAAAAAUACCUGAAUGAAUUCUCUUACAGAAAGACAGUUUGACUGAAUUUGCUUUUUACAACCAGUGUGGAAAAUAUCAUAGUCAAUUGAGGCAAUCAGUAGAAAUCUCACUAAAAGUUUGUACCCCCUGAGUAUGGGUAACAGCUUAAACGGCAAGAAUAUAUAAAAGUAGCAACAGUUUAGUGGGAGCCAAAAAGCACUAGGUUAAAUAUCAUACUACGUUUUUAAAGACUUGAUAAAUGUGUACACUUGAACAACCAUCCAGAGGGAUAGUUACUUGAGCAUUAUAGAGUAGUGGAACUCAAAAUCUAAGAUUCAUCUGGGAUACUUCUAAAAGAAAUGUAGAGUUUUGAAUCUCACUCUUAAAAAUGUGUAUUCCCAGGCUAGGCAUGGUGGCUCACGCCUGUAAUCCUAGCACUUUGGGAGGCCAAGGCGGGUGAAUCACUUGAAGUCAGGAGAUCAAGACCAGCUUGGUCGACAUGGUGAAACCCCGUCUCUACUAAAAGUACAAAAAAAUUAGCUGGACAUGAUGGCGUGUGCCUAUAAUCCCACCUACUCGGGAGGCUGAGGCAGGAGAAUCGCUUGAACCUGGGAGGCAGAAGUUGCAGUGAGCCGAGAUGGCGCCACUGUAGUCCAGUCUGGGCGACAGAGUGAGAUUCUGCCUCAAAAUAAAUAAAUAAAUAAAAAUUUGUAUUCCAUUGAUUUGGGUAGACACCAGGAAUGUGCAUUUCUAACAAGCUUUCCAGGCGAUCCUACAGUAAGUCAUCUGUGGACUACUUUAAGAAACUCUUCUAUAGAGAAUGGAGUUGGAUUAAUAAUAGGUGAUUUUUUACACUGGACUGAUUCACAAGAACCUAAACAGUAGUCCAUGAAGCUGCUCAUCUGUGGUAACUAUUUGGCCCCUUCUCACUCUGAAAGCAGCAGGAGAUGUUGUUUACUUUGUUUCUAUCCCCUUUGUCUGGAGAUUAAUUUUGGAAUGAAAGUUUUUCUCUCUAUGCCAUUCCUGGUUCUUUUCCAAAGCCUCAUACAAGAGGAUUAGGUCACAAUGCAUGCAUUACCUUUUAAAAGAAUGCGAUAUUGAUACCGAUGCUUACUUUUUUUUUUUUUACUACUUGUUUUAUUCCUUCCAGAAAGUAUAGCCCGCCUUUCUAUAGCAUAGUUCUCUUUAGGUGGAAUGAUUCCUAUAAGAUUUCUCAUUAUUAAAUCAUGCAUUUUUCAAGAUGGAAUCAAUCUUUGAUUUAAUCUAAGCUGAUAUUCUCAUUUGUUAGAAGAACAACCUACAUGCUAGAGAGAGAGGAGGAAAUAUACCCACGACCACACAGCCAGUUAGUAUCCAGUUGGUGCUGGACUCCAGCCAGGUGUCCUGCCUCAUGGUAGUUAAAUGAUAUAUAGAAAAGGUAAAUUUUUAAAGAAAUAUUUAUUAAUAUAUUCCUAUAAAACAUUUUAAAGGUAACCACAUAAAAAUGGUUAAUUUUUCCAUUCCAAAGUAAAUGCUAAGCAUGUUUAUUAAUGAAGCAGUACUUCUGAUUAGUAUAUGACAUUCUGAAGUUAAUUAAACUCAUUGCACUAAAUGUGUCUUCCUUGGUAUAGUGGAGGAUUUGAGGAUUGGAAUAUAAAGUAGAGUGCUUGCUUAAGCCUGGGAGCCCAUCUUUAUAGCUAUUUGAUGUAAGAAAAGAGACAUGGCCAUUUCUAAACUAUAUAAGGUGAGUGUGUCUAUUCCCAGCAGAUAUAAAGGAAAAAGGAAACUUUUUUGAUUCCCACCUUCCCAGCCUCACCUAGCCAUCUUCCAGCCUCAAAUAUAGAGAUGUUAGUGCAAGGUCCUGGGCUCUAGGUAAUCAUUUCAUAAGUCCUUUACAGAUAAAGAAAAAGUAGUGUUUGUAUGUUUGUUUUUAAGUAACCCCAAAACAAAUUUAUGUUGUAUUCAGCAAAAUUGGAAUUCAGGUGUUUAAUUUUAGAACAUAAAGUGCCUGCUGUUUUAAGCAUUGACUUGUAUAAAAAGAAUUGCAUGUCUCACUCCAGUAAGCUUAUGGGUUUUCUCAUUUUUAGGUAUAUGGCUUUUAAUCAUGUAAAGUGAAACAUUAGUUUUGUUGCAUUUUAUUACAGGUUCUUUGUUGCAAUAAAGAUGCUGCUGAAAUUAAUUGA
RNA transcript from Pan troglodytes (chimpanzee), 7820 nucleotides. It is a transcript of the gene named dipeptidyl peptidase 8, with no coding region annotated. Lineage: Eukaryota; Metazoa; Chordata; Mammalia; Primates; Hominidae. The transcript has 22 exons. The record is from RefSeq and is a predicted model, not a curated record.